AAGCCGUAAGGCGAAGUAUAGGGGCUGACGCCUGCCCGGUGCUGGAAGGUUAAGAGGAGCGCUUAGCGUAAGCGAAGGUGCGAAUUGAAGCCCCAGUAAACGGCGGCCGUAACUAUAACGGUCCUAAGGUAGCGAAAUUCCUUGUCGGGUAAGUUCCGACCCGCACGAAAGGCGCAACGAUCUGGGCACUGUCUCAACGAGAGACUCGGUGAAAUUAUAGUACCUGUGAAGAUGCAGGUUACCCGCGACAGGACGGAAAGACCCCGUGGAGCUUUACUGCAGCCUGAUAUUGAAUGUUGGUACAGCUUGUACAGGAUAGGUAGGAGCCUUGGAAACCGGAGCGCUAGCUUCGGUGGAGGCAUCGGUGGGAUACUACCCUGGCUGUAUUGACCUUCUAACCCGCUGCCCUUAUCGGGCAGGGAGACAGUGUCAGGUGGGCAGUUUGACUGGGGCGGUCGCCUCCUAAAAUGUAACGGAGGCGCCC
RNAcentral lists this ribosomal RNA (484 nucleotides) under Bacillus safensis. RNAcentral describes it as "bacterial LSU rRNA". It matches the Rfam family "Bacterial large subunit ribosomal RNA", at positions 1828 to 2311 of the family's 2925-position model. The record is from RNAcentral. Lineage: Bacteria; Bacillati; Bacillota; Bacilli; Caryophanales; Bacillaceae.